RNAcentral lists this long non-coding RNA (984 nucleotides) under Scophthalmus maximus (turbot). RNAcentral's name for it is "lncRNA (ENSSMAG00000030495.1)". Lineage: Eukaryota; Metazoa; Chordata; Actinopteri; Pleuronectiformes; Scophthalmidae. The record is from RNAcentral.
AUGCCUUCACAGGAGGAAAAGUGUCUGUUGCAAUUUCCGAGUAUCAGCCCUCUGGUCGGUCAGCUCAUGCUGAAGAGAGCACCGUCCUUCCAGUGGCUACUGGGGGCCUCGCGAUCUCAGCUGAACGAGCUUCUCCCCGAGGUGCCACAUAAAGUCCUCAAGCUGUUCAGUGACACCACCGCCCUGUACACACGGAUCGCCGUCACCAACCAGCCAGAGACUCAGACAGUCGUCGCCGAGACAAACCAUCAAACCUCCCAGCCGCACCCCCCACCCACCACCUCCCAUCCUCCUCCAGAGCCGUUCUGUGGCCAACACAACGCCAGCUUCCUGUUCGGAGCUGAGAGCGAACAGGACCCCGGCCUGGCGGUGUACGAUGAAAACUCUUCAGAUUUCAGACUCGACCUGAGGAGCUGUUCCCCUGGCAGUCUAGGUGUUUACCUGCAGAACGUACCGGUGCGGACAAGCGAUGAGCUGUGGAGAAAGGAGGCAGAGUUUUCUGGACUGAAAAGCAGAGCUGGAGCCGUGGGCAGAGUCGUGAGGAGGGUAAACGACGAGUGGACACUCGGGCCUUCGCCGAACCUCAGCGGCUUCAUCAACUUCCUACGCACUGCUGACGACAGUCCUCUCAGACUGGACUCCACAUUCAGCUGCAGCCCUGUGCAGCAGCAGCCGCCUGAGGUCCACGCUCAAACGUACACAUACUAUGACGACAAUCACGUCACCCGCAGGCCGAGCACCCCCACAGGGCUCCCGCUGUGGGGUCGAGGCGAGAGCAGCAGCGACUGGCUCUCCGACAGCAACGGAAUGACAGCAGGUUCAGUCAAGUACGGCUCCAAUCGCUGGAUAGGACGAGAGAGGAAGAGGAGAGGAGAGGCUGCAGGCUUGGCUGGAACAGUGUUGACGCCACUGAAGAAAGGGAGGCUGAGCUAUGAGAGGGUUCCCGGCAGAAGUGACGGACAGACGAGGCUCAAACUGUUUUAA